AUUGAACGCUGGCGGCAUGCCUUACACAUGCAAGUCGAACGGUAACAGGUUAAGCUGACGAGUGGCGAACGGGUGAGUAAUAUAUCGGAACGUGCCCAGUCGUGGGGGAUAACGUAGCGAAAGCUACGCUAAUACCGCAUACGAUCUACGGAUGAAAGCGGGGGAUCGCAAGACCUCGCGCGAUUGGAGCGGCUGAUAUCAGAUUAGGUUGUUGGUGAGGUAAAAGCUCACCAAGCCUGCGAUCUAUAGCUGGUCUGAGAGGACGACCAGCCACACUGGAACUGAGACACGGUCCAGACUCCUACGGGAGGCAGCAGUGGGGAAUUUUGGACAAUGGACGCAAGUCUGAUCCAGCAAUGCCGCGUGCAGGACGAAGGCCUUCGGGUUGUAAACUGCUUUUGUACGGAACGAAACGGUGAACUCUAAUACAGUUUGCUAAUGACGGUACCGUAAGAAUAAGCACCGGCUAACUACGUGCCAGCCGCCGCCGUAA
This 493-nucleotide ribosomal RNA is filed under the name uncultured bacterium. RNAcentral's name for it is "partial 16S ribosomal RNA". It matches the Rfam family "Bacterial small subunit ribosomal RNA", at positions 30 to 523 of the family's 1533-position model. The record is from RNAcentral.